GCUACCGAGCUCAGUUGGUUAGAGCACAUCACUCAUAAUGAUGGGGUCACAGGUUCGAAUCCCGUCGGAGCC
RNAcentral lists this transfer RNA (72 nucleotides) under Escherichia coli. RNAcentral describes it as "tRNA-Met". It matches the Rfam family "tRNA". Rfam says of the family: Transfer RNA (tRNA) molecules are approximately 80 nucleotides in length. Their secondary structure includes four short double-helical elements and three loops (D, anti-codon, and T loops). Further hydrogen bonds mediate the characteristic L-shaped molecular structure. tRNAs have two regions of fundamental functional importance: the anti-codon, which is responsible for specific mRNA codon recognition, and the 3' end, to which the tRNAs corresponding amino acid is attached (by aminoacyl-tRNA synthetases). tRNAs cope with the degeneracy of the genetic code in two manners: having more than one tRNA (with a specific anti-codon) for a particular amino acid; and 'wobble' base-pairing, i.e. permitting non-standard base-pairing at the 3rd anti-codon position. The record is from RNAcentral. Lineage: Bacteria; Pseudomonadati; Pseudomonadota; Gammaproteobacteria; Enterobacterales; Enterobacteriaceae.